UCCGGUGUCGAUGCGCUUAGGGGGCCCACCCGUUCCCAUCCCGAACACGAUGGUUAAGACCUCAGCGGCCGAUGAUACUAUGCUGGAGACGGCAUGGGAAAGCAGGUGGAUGCCGGAU
This 118-nucleotide ribosomal RNA is filed under the name Clostridium sp. AF02-29. Lineage: Bacteria; Bacillati; Bacillota; Clostridia; Eubacteriales; Clostridiaceae. The record is from RNAcentral.